AUAGCGUAUAUUAAAGUUGUUGCAGUUAAAAAGCUCGUAGUUGAAUUUCAGGCCUGGCCGGGCGGUCAGCUUAACGGCGUGCACUGUCUGGCUGGGCCUUACCUCUUGGUGAGCUGGCGUGUCCCUUAUUGGAUGCGUCGGGGAACCAGGACUUUUACCUUGAGAAAAUUAGAGUGUUCAAAGCAGGCCUAUGCCUGAAUACAUUAGCAUGGAAUAAUAAAAUAGGACGUGCGGUUCUAUUUUGUUGGUUUCUAGAGUCGCCGUAAUGAUUAAUAGGGAUAGUUGGGGGCAUUGGUAUUGAGUCGCUAGAGGUGAAAUUCUUGGAUUGACUCAAGACCAACUAUUG
This 346-nucleotide ribosomal RNA is filed under the name uncultured eukaryote. RNAcentral's name for it is "SSU rRNA". It matches the Rfam family "Eukaryotic small subunit ribosomal RNA", at positions 594 to 945 of the family's 1831-position model. The record is from RNAcentral.